This 820-nucleotide ribosomal RNA is filed under the name uncultured crenarchaeote. Its description in RNAcentral is "bacterial SSU rRNA". It matches the Rfam family "Archaeal small subunit ribosomal RNA", at positions 60 to 859 of the family's 1478-position model. Lineage: Archaea; Thermoproteati; Thermoproteota. The record is from RNAcentral.
GCGUGCCUCAGCCAAAACGAGGCACGGCGCACGGCUCAGUAGCACGUGGCUAAUCUGCCCUUAGGACGAGAAUACCCCCGGGAAACUGGGGCUAAUUCGCGAUAGGCGAAGAACACUGGAAUGUGUCUUCACCUGAAAGACCCUACGUUAUGCUCGUAGAAGUCGCCUAAGGAUGAGGCCGCGACCGAUCAGGUUGUUGGUGAGGUAAUGGCUCACCAAGCCUUUUACCGGUGCGGGCCGUGAGAGCGGGAGCCCGGAGAUGGGUACUGAGACAAGGACCCAGGCCCUACGGGGCGCAGCAGUCGCGAAACCUUUGCAAUACACGAAAGUGUGACAGGGCUAUCCCGAGUGCCAUCCGCUGAGGAAGGCUUUUACCCAGUCUAGAAAGCUGGGGGAAUAAGGAGAGGGCAAGUCUGGUGUCAGCCGCCGCGGUAAUACCAGCUCUUCGAGUGGUGUGGAUGUUUAUUGGGCCUAAAGCAUCCGUAGCUGGCUAGGUAAGUCCCUUGUAAAAUCCACCGAAUUAAUCGUUGGAUCGCGGGGGAUACUGCUUGGCUAGGGGACGAGAGAGGCAGACGGUAUUUUCGGGGUAGGGGUGAAAUCCUAUAAUCCCGGGAAGACCACCAGUGGCGAAGGCUGUCUGCUAGAACGCGCCCGACGGUGAGGGAUGAAAGCUGGGGGAGCGAACCGGAUUAGAUACCCGGGUAGUCCCAGCUGUAAACGAUGCAGACUAGGUGUUUGAACGGCCACGUGCCGUUCUAGUGCCGCAGGGAAGCUGUUAAGUCUGCCGCCUGGGGAGUACGAUCGCGAGAUUGAAACUUAA